GACGAACGCUGGCGGCGUGCCUAAUACAUGCAAGUCGAACGCUUCUUUUUCCACCGGAGCUUGCUCCACCGGAAAAAGAGGAGUGGCGAACGGGUGAGUAACACGUGGGUAACCUGCCCAUCAGAAGGGGAUAACACUUGGAAACAGGUGCUAAUACCGUAUAACAAUCGAAACCGCAUGGUUUUGAUUUGAAAGGCGCUUUCGGGUGUCGCUGAUGGAUGGACCCGCGGUGCAUUAGCUAGUUGGUGAGGUAACGGCUCACCAAGGCCACGAUGCAUAGCCGACCUGAGAGGGUGAUCGGCCACAUUGGGACUGAGACACGGCCCAAACUCCUACGGGAGGCAGCAGUAGGGAAUCUUCGGCAAUGGACGAAAGUCUGACCGAGCAACGCCGCGUGAGUGAAGAAGGUUUUCGGAUCGUAAAACUCUGUUGUUAGAGAAGAACAAGGAUGAGAGUAACUGUUCAUCCCUUGACGGUAUCUAACCAGAAAGCCACGGCUAACUACGUGCCAGCAGCCGCGGUAAUACGUAGGUGGCAAGCGUUGUCCGGAUUUAUUGGGCGUAAAGCGAGCGCAGGCGGUUUCUUAAGUCUGAUGUGAAAGCCCCCGGCUCAACCGGGGAGGGUCAUUGGAAACUGGGAGACUUGAGUGCAGAAGAGGAGAGUGGAAUUCCAUGUGUAGCGGUGAAAUGCGUAGAUAUAUGGAGGAACACCAGUGGCGAAGGCGGCUCUCUGGUCUGUAACUGACGCUGAGGCUCGAAAGCGUGGGGA
This 768-nucleotide ribosomal RNA is filed under the name uncultured Bacilli bacterium. RNAcentral's name for it is "bacterial SSU rRNA". It matches the Rfam family "Bacterial small subunit ribosomal RNA", at positions 28 to 767 of the family's 1533-position model. Lineage: Bacteria; Bacillati; Bacillota; Bacilli. The record is from RNAcentral.